Molecule: long non-coding RNA, 1861 nt
Organism: Lactuca sativa (garden lettuce)
Lineage: Eukaryota; Viridiplantae; Streptophyta; Magnoliopsida; Asterales; Asteraceae
Source: RefSeq, a predicted model, not a curated record
CAUAACUAUAAAUUUUAUUAUUCUUGUUUUGUUUUAAAAUUGACUACGUAAAUUAUACCUUGUACUUAAUUUUAUGUAGAAAGCAGAGCUAGGUAAUGAUUCUAUAUUUUUUGAUCUAUUCAUCAAGACACAUGGUACUGCUGAUUUAAAGAAAAUAUACUUUCACGAUGAUCGUGAAAAUAUGGAAUAUUGUUCAUAGACCGCCAAAGAAGCAAAAGAUGCAUAUUUGCAGGGGUUACUAAACAAAUAUAGUGAAGAUCCAGUAAACCACAAGGAUGAUGUAGAGGUAUCGGCUGAAAUCCAUCUUCGGAGAAAAGCAGGAAAAAAGAAGGGUGCUACCUACAGUAUAUGAGCAUAAGAUGUUAAGUUUGUGGUUUUUGGGACACCGUCUUCCUAGUCUACCUAGUCCACAAUCUACCCAAUCAGACAACACACAACAAGAGAAGGUUGAAGGGAAGAAGAAGGAGCUUGGGAUUUCAGAAGGAGCAAGGAGAUCCAGAGAUUUUGCUUCAUUUCCUAUUUAUUGGAGGUACCUCUUCAUCCAAGGGGAAGGAGCCGGUGGUGUAGCAACGCAUCACACAUUUAUACAUGAUUUCUGCAAAGAAUUUUCUAGGAUUGUACUCUGAUUUAUACUAUUGUUCGAUGUUUGAUUUUGAGACAUGUUCAUGAUGGUUUAUGGAUUGAUAUGAUAUUGAAAAUGUUUUCAGUAAACGAUUUUGUAAAUUACUUAAUUACUAACGAAAUUUUUGGACUCGAAAUUUGGGAUGUUACAAGUUGGUAUCAGAGCCUUGGUUUGAGGGAUUCGGACCCACCUUCGGGGUGUCUGAACUCAAAUCGAGGGAUUGAAGGAUUUUUACAAGAAAAAUAGUUUUCUAAAAUCUAAGUUAAAGAAUUUUGACAAAAAAAAACGAGGUGUGUGAUGUGUGCGACCGACCGAGCUCAAGUAAGUUCUCCUUAAGAUACCCAUACUUGUCACGUUAUGUUAUAUGAUAUGAUUAUGAGAACUGCAUGCUAGAUUAGGGCUAAGGAUCUAGGAAGAUUCCUUGUAUGCCUGUUAUAUGAUCCUGAUAACUGCAUGCUAGAAUAGAACUAAGGAUCUAGGAAGGAGGCCUUAUAUGCCUGUUGUAUGAGCUUAUUGAGCUGUAUGCUAGGGCUGUUAGUCAAUAGUAUGAAAGCCUAGUUAGGUUAUGCUUGAUUUGGUCACUCGAUGCCCGAAUGCUACUUUGCAUUGUGCUAUAAGGGUUCUGGCCAACUUUAACUAACUAGUAGGCGAAUAUGUAAUAGUAUUCGCAAGCUAGUUAGGGAAAGGUGGUAGGGACUCCUAGUGCAGUUGAUGGCGGAGAGUAGGUCGAAGGGUGUCAUAGGAAACCCUAGGAUGAGAUUAGUUGGGAAGUUGUAUUAGUAGAAAGGGACUUGGUGAAGUCAAGGAAGUUCUUGAGGAAAGUACGGAUAGAUGUGAAAGGUAGUAUGGGCCCGUACUACUGGAAGCAUAGGAUCCGUACUCGAAUCAAGGAAGGCUGAGAUAGAACCAGGAAACUUGGAGAGUGUGUGAGAUCUCUCGAGAGUAUGUAUGACCCUGACAUCAUUGUGUUUGUUUUCAAUAUGGCGAUUACGCGACAUGGAGCAGGAUCUGGGUCAGGAUCAGAGUUAGGCUCGAGUGCAUGAUCUGAGCUGGUUGAUGACGGGCUACGCGAGUUCAUCGCGUCUAAGAUCACGAGAGGUAUCCUUGAGGCGAACCUGGUUAUUAUGGUUUGAAACUUAAGAAGUUAGUUCUUAUUAUGGAUAAAAUUGAUUAAAAACAAAAGUACAUUGCUAUUAUGGUUUAAAAGUUAGUUAGUUUGUUGUUAUAUUGAUUAAAUUG